UUAGGGUAGCAAUAUCUUAAUUACCUCAACAAGGUAGAUACUCUUUCAAAUGACUCUGAUCACACCAAAUCCACUCUUUCAAACAAGCAUGCUGCAGAAUUCAACACGGGGCGGGCAUCCAUGGAGUAAUCUGGCAUCCAUACUAUACUACAGACUACAGACAUUGUAAUUUUGCAGCUCUAACAGCACACAAACAGACUGGUAGGUAAGGUAAUAAAACAAUACAUGACACUAUCUCCAUGUAUAGCAGAUGGAGAUAGGUAAUGAACAAUACAGACAAGCAUGAACCAAUCCGGGGAAAGCUAAGGAUAUGAACGGCAGAUGGGUAGCAAUACAGACACACAGGAUUAUCACCAUGUACAAAACAACACGGAGAUAAUGACUUCUCAGGUUAUUCAGCUGGUUGUAUUUCUUGAGGUCGAGAGGUAGAUGCCCCAGCAGCAGCAGCUUCAUGAGGCCUCCGGCGUCUCAAGGGUGGUGGGUCCUCGCUCCCAGGUAC
RNAcentral lists this long non-coding RNA (499 nucleotides) under Triticum aestivum (bread wheat). RNAcentral describes it as "long non-coding RNA (TAES_LNC006072)". The record is from RNAcentral. Lineage: Eukaryota; Viridiplantae; Streptophyta; Magnoliopsida; Poales; Poaceae.